GUGAGGGUGACUGAGCGUGGGGAGGAAGCGUGAAGCGAAACUGCGAGCCGAUGGACAAGAACCGGAUAGAAGGCGUUGCCGACCAGGGCGAGCGGGCCAGAACCCGCAAAGCUCUCGUGAUCAAGGGGCGGUGGCGUAAAUCCGGCGGUUGUGCAGUGACGGAGUGCGUUC
This 171-nucleotide non-coding RNA is filed under the name Burkholderia sp. YR290. The record is from RNAcentral. Lineage: Bacteria; Pseudomonadati; Pseudomonadota; Betaproteobacteria; Burkholderiales; Burkholderiaceae.